RNAcentral lists this ribosomal RNA (225 nucleotides) under uncultured bacterium. RNAcentral describes it as "partial 16S ribosomal RNA". It matches the Rfam family "Bacterial small subunit ribosomal RNA", at positions 111 to 334 of the family's 1533-position model. The record is from RNAcentral.
UAACGCGUGAGGAACCUGCCUCAAAGAGGGGGACAACAGUUGGAAACGACUGCUAAUACCGCAUAAGCCCACAGCUCGGCAUCGAGCAGAGGGAAAAGGAGUGAUCCGCUUUGAGAUGGCCUCGCGUCCGAUUAGCUAGUUGGUGAGGUAAUGGCCCACCAAGGCGACGAUCGGUAGCCGGACUGAGAGGUUGAACGGUCACAUUGGGACUGAGACACGGCCCAG